Molecule: ribosomal RNA, 251 nt
Filed under: Tsukamurella pseudospumae
Lineage: Bacteria; Bacillati; Actinomycetota; Actinomycetes; Mycobacteriales; Tsukamurellaceae
Description: partial 23S ribosomal RNA
Rfam family: Bacterial large subunit ribosomal RNA
Source: RNAcentral
UAGGGGUGAAAGGCCAAUCAAACUCCGUGAUAGCUGGUUCUCCCCGAAAUGCAUUUAGGUGCAGCGUCACGUGUUUCUUGCCGGAGGUAGAGCUACUGGAUGGCCGAUGGGCCCUCACAGGUUACUGACGUCAGCCAAACUCCGAAUGCCGGUAAGUGAGAACGUGGCAGUGAGACUGCGGGGGAUAAGCUUCGUAGUCGAGAGGGAAACAGCCCAGAUCGCCGGCUAAGGCCCCUAAGCGUGUACUAAGU